Molecule: non-coding RNA, 173 nt
Filed under: Drosophila ananassae
Lineage: Eukaryota; Metazoa; Arthropoda; Insecta; Diptera; Drosophilidae
Description: Eukaryotic large subunit ribosomal RNA
Rfam family: Eukaryotic large subunit ribosomal RNA
Source: Rfam by way of RNAcentral
CAACCUCAACUCAUAUGGGACUACCCCCUGAAUUUAGCAUAUUAAUUAGGGGAAGAAAAGAAACUAACAGGAUUUUCUUAUUGCGGCCAGCGAAAAAAAUCAGUUCAGCACUAAUCACUUUUCUAUUUGGCAAUGUGAAAUCAAGGGAGGGAACGUCAUAUUCUGAAGAAAAA